Molecule: ribosomal RNA, 253 nt
Filed under: uncultured bacterium
Lineage: Bacteria
Description: partial 16S ribosomal RNA
Rfam family: Bacterial small subunit ribosomal RNA
Source: RNAcentral
UACGGGGGGGGCAAGCGUUGUUCGGAAUUACUGGGCGUAAAGGGCUCGUAGGCGGCCAACUAAGUCGGAUGUGAAAUCCCCAGGCUUAACCUGGGAACUGCAUCCGAUACUGGAUGGCUUGAAUCCGGGAGAGGGAUGCAGAAUUCCAGGUGUAGCGGUGAAAUGCGUAGAUAUCUGGAGGAACACCGGUGGCGAAGGCGGCAUCCUGGACCAACACUGACGCUGAGGAGCGAAAGCCAGGGGAGCAAACGGG